This 460-nucleotide ribosomal RNA is filed under the name uncultured bacterium. Its description in RNAcentral is "partial 16S ribosomal RNA". It matches the Rfam family "Bacterial small subunit ribosomal RNA", at positions 338 to 795 of the family's 1533-position model. The record is from RNAcentral.
CCUACGGGAGGCAGCAGUGAGGAAUAUUGGUCAAUGGACGCAAGUCUGAACCAGCCAUGCCGCGUGCAGGAAGACGGCUCUAUGAGUUGUAAACUGCUUUUGUACGAGGGUAAACGCAGAUACGCGUAUCUGUCUGAAAGUAUCGUACGAAUAAGGAUCGGCUAACUCCGUGCCAGCAGCCGCGGUAAUACGGAGGAUUCAAGCGUUAUCCGGAUUUAUUGGGUUUAAAGGGUGCGUAGGCGGUCGGAUAAGUUAGAGGUGAAAUCCCGAGGCUCAACUUCGGAAUUGCCUCUGAUACUGUUCGGCUAGAGAGUAGUUGCGGUAGGCGGAAUGUAUGGUGUAGCGGUGAAAUGCUUAGAGAUCAUACAGAACACCGAUUGCGAAGGCAGCUUACCAAGCUACUUCUGACGUUGAGGCACGAAGGCGUGGGGAGCGAACAGGAUUAGAUACCCUUGUAGUC